Molecule: small RNA, 932 nt
Filed under: Pongo abelii (Sumatran orangutan)
Lineage: Eukaryota; Metazoa; Chordata; Mammalia; Primates; Hominidae
Description: retained intron
Source: RNAcentral
CCUGAGGCCAGGGGAGCUUAGAGGAGGAGGAGGAGGCCAGGGGGCUGAAGGACCACCUGGUACCCCUCGGAGAACAGGCAAAGGAAACAGAAGAAAGAAGCGAGCUGCAGGUCGAGGGGCUCUUAGCCGAGGAGGGGACAGUGCCCCACUGAGCCCUGGGGACAAGGAAGAUGCCAGCCACCAAGAAGCCCUUGGCAAUCUGCCCUCACCAAGUGAGCACAAGCUUCCAGAAUGCAGCCUGGUUAAGGAGGAAUAUGAAGGCUCAGGGAAGCCAGAAUCUGAGCCAAAAGAGCUCAAAACAGCAGGCGAAAAAGAGCCUCAGCCCUCUGAAGCCUGUGGGCCUACAGAAGAGGGGGCCAGAGAGAGAGAGCUGGAGGGGCCAGGCCUGGUGUGUAUGGCAGGACACACAGGCCCAGAAGGCCUCCUGUCUGACACUCCAACACCUCCACUGGAGACUGUGCAGGAAGGAAAAGGGGACAACAUUCCAGAAGAGGCCCUUCCAGUCUCCGUCUCUGAUCACCCUGAUGUAGCUUGGGACUUGAUGGCAUCUGGAUUCCUCAUCCUGACGGGUCAGUGGGCAUCAGUGGGUGAAGGGAAAAAGGACUGGGAAAGAGAAGCAAUUGGGUGGGCUUGGGGACUGGGGGAGGCAGGGUGGAAAGGAGGUAGGCAUGGACUGCUCCCAGCCAGGACAGCCUGGCCAUUUUGUGUCUUCAGGAGGGGUGGACCAGAGUGGGCGAGCUCUGCUGACCAUUACCCCACCGUGCUCUCCUGAGGAGCCCCCACCCUCCCAAGACACGCUGAACACAACUCUUCAUUACCUCCACUCACUGCUCAGGCCUGAUCUACAGAUACUGGGGCUGUCCGUCCUGCUGGACCUUCGCCAGGCACCUCCACUGCCUCUGGCACUCAUUCCUGUCUUGAGCCAACUUCAG